UAAUUUUAGCUUAAUCUCUUAUAAUAUAGGUAAACUUCAGCCCAUUAAUUAUUUAAUUGGUGUUGGAGUGUUUGAUUAGCAGUUCCCAACUUCCGAUUGAUAAUUCUUCAAUCGAGGUAGAAAAGCAAAGGCAUGAACACUAAAAUCACCAAUUUGAUGCAUUGAAAAACGAAUAUAUGCAAUAAUCACGAUGUAAAAGAAGACGAGUUUUCAAUUGGUAUAUGUCUCUAACUUCCUAAUUAUUCAAGACGGCUAUACACCCGGUCUCUCACAUUCCAAACGUAUUUGGUAUUUUAACAGACCAAGCAUUCAAUUUCUAAAACCAUAAGACGAUAUCUCUCUAAUUCUCUCUUUAAUUCUGAAUUUUGGUUUAGAUUUGGCGAUUUCUACAUCCCAUUUGUAUACCAUCCAUGGACGAUACCUGAUGCCCUCCCCAAUUUAAUCUGUUUUGUUACCCAUUCGAUUCCUUAAUAGUUGAUACCUUCUCCCAUUUAAUUGAUUUCUGGAUACAAUCUGUGAAUAAAUCCCGAUUUUUAAGUUCUGCUACAUCGAUACUAUCGACACUUUUUAGUCUGAAGAGUGAAGAGUGAAGACAAGAGUUCUAGACUUCGGAAUUGGAGUUCAAAGUUUGUUUCAAGCUUUUAGAGGUUUACUUUUCUCUCUGAGUAUGCCAGAUUCUUGGAGACUAGAGUUCGAAUUGUAAGGAUUUUUUAUUUCAUGGCCGCUUGGUAAAUGAUUAAUAUAUAUUUAUGAUUGUUUUUCAUUUGAUUAGUUUGAUGUUUUAAAUAUUAAGUUUUGUAUUUCUGUUUUGAAGAUUAUCAAUGUUAAAAAUAGUUAAAGUAAUUUGUUUGGAUGUGUUGUGAUUAUGAAACCUGUUGUACUUCACCGUUUGGAUAUUUGGAGUUCAAAACUACUUUUACAAUUCUAUAAA
Long non-coding RNA from Lactuca sativa (garden lettuce), 931 nucleotides. RefSeq lists it as uncharacterized. The record is from RefSeq and is a predicted model, not a curated record. Lineage: Eukaryota; Viridiplantae; Streptophyta; Magnoliopsida; Asterales; Asteraceae.